Tympanuchus pallidicinctus (lesser prairie-chicken) is the source of this 1221-nucleotide non-coding RNA. The record is from the annotation of a RefSeq genome assembly. Lineage: Eukaryota; Metazoa; Chordata; Aves; Galliformes; Phasianidae.
CUCUUCAGCCUCUAACUGAUGGGCUAACAGGGAACUACAGGUGUAGCUUUGAAGUGGGUGAGCCUGAGCUUUUUGAGUGACAAGUGAAAAGAUAACAACGAAGAUCAGAAAUGUCUGAGAGGAUCCUGUGGCAGUGUGCAAAACUUUUAAGGAAGGCUUAGGAAGGGGGAAGGAUCAAAGGUGUGAGAAAUGGGGGAGUGGGGAGGAGCAAGGGGGGAGGAAGGACAAAAAGUUUACGUCAGUACACCUGCUGGGAUCAUCACUGCUCCAGAGAAGCCAGGCUCCACACAAGGCUAUUAGCUGUGCUGAGGGCCGAUGCUAACAUUAAUGGGGUGCAUGAAUGUGGGAGUGCUUGCAGAACUAAUGGGUGAAGGUGUGUGCUUGCACUGGGGAACUGCAGUCCUGAUUAGCCUGAGAGGAGGAACAGGGCUUGGCUCUGAGCUUCGGGCUUAUAAGAGAACUGGUGUUGUUACCUGUGGGUGUUGCUAUGGCAGUGAGUGCCCUGCCUGUGCAGCCAGCAGAGUCAUUUCCGGCAGCUCUGUCGUCUUGGGGCUGGGAGGUGGUUUUCUGCCUCUUGCUCACUCACAAACAAGAGGCUCGGUCUCAGCAUGCACCGCAGCUCUCUCGUCCUCACUGCCUUCCUGGGACAACUGCUGGGUGCCAUGGGGCAGACCAUUGUCAGCCAGCAAGAAGGACAGGUCACAGUGCAGGAGAGAAACACCUUCCAGACCACCUGCACAUACCAGGCAACUAACUUUAAUGGUUUGUUUUGGUACCAGCAGAAGAAAGGCCAAGCUCCCCAGCUGGUCACAUAUCAGGCAGCAGCAGGCUCCAAGCAGAACGGCCGUUUCACCACGUGGCUGAACACCACCGGGAAAUACAGCCUGCUGCGGCUGGCAGAAGUCGAGCUGUCUGACAGCGCCUUGUACCUCUGUGCUGUGCAGGACACCCUGGUGCAGGGAGCUUCCUUGGCCGUGCAACAACCCCAGGGAGGGAGGAGUGGCUGUAAGCAGAGCAGAGGUGCAGCAGGAACCGUUGGCAGCGACCACCGAGGACAUCGUAGUCAGCAUCACCUGCUCACACCCCAACAUUCAGUCUUACAGUGAUAUAUACUGGUACCGUCAGUUCCCGGGCCGGAGCCCCGCAUUCAUCGGGUUCAUUUAUGAAGGUUCCAAGGACGUGCCGGACCCGGCGGGGCAGCUGUCGGUGUCGGCAGACCGC